This 244-nucleotide ribosomal RNA is filed under the name uncultured bacterium. RNAcentral's name for it is "partial 16S ribosomal RNA". It matches the Rfam family "Bacterial small subunit ribosomal RNA", at positions 29 to 263 of the family's 1533-position model. The record is from RNAcentral.
AAUGAACGCUGGCGGCGCGCCUAAUACAUGCAAGUCGAGCGAGAAGACGUAGCAAUACGUUUGUAAAGCGGCGAACGGGUGAGGAAUACAUGGGUAACCUACCCUCGAGUGGGGAAUAACUAGCCGAAAGGUUAGCUAAUACCGCGUACGCUUCUUGGACUUCGGUUCAGGGAGGAAAGCGAUGCCGAGGGUAUCGCGCUCUUGGAUGGGCUCAUGUCCUAUCAGCUUGUUGGNGAGGUAACGG